Sciurus carolinensis (gray squirrel) is the source of this 1025-nucleotide long non-coding RNA. RefSeq lists it as uncharacterized. The transcript has 5 exons. NCBI's taxonomy places the organism in Eukaryota, Metazoa, Chordata, Mammalia, Rodentia, Sciuridae. The record is from RefSeq and is a predicted model, not a curated record.
CCGUUGGGGCACAGAGCCCAGUGGGUGUUAGUGGUUAUGGCAUUGUGGGUAUGUGUUAUUCUGAUGCCUCUGCCGCGUGUUCCCAUGCGCAUUCCAACGGUGCACUUAGUGCUUUUCUCGUCAGGACUUCCACCAGACAGGAAAUGGGGACUGAGCUGGUUUCCAUCCAGGUUGCUCCUGUGGCCGAUGACUCUUCCGACAGCUGUGGGACAAACACGUUCCCAUCAGCGAAACAGUCUCCCUAAUUUGCCCAGGCUGACCUUGAACUGGCGAUCCUCCUGCCUCAGCCUCCCGCGUCGCUGAGACUACAGGCGUGUGUCACCAUGCCCGGUUCCGGGGUACAUUUCAAUACGUGCAAACUGAGUGUAACGAUCCGCCCGGGAUAACCGGCACACCCAUCGCCUCCGGUAGUGUCAUUUCUUUGUGUGACGAGCAUUCCAAGUCCCCCCUACUUGCAAUUUGGAGAUGCACAGACAGGGUCUCACUGAGCCACUGAGGCUGGCCUCGAAUUUGCAAUCCUCCCACCUCAGCCUCUGGAGUUGCUGGGAUUACAGGCAUGUGCCCCUUCACCCAACCCAUUUGUUCUCCUACUGCUGCCUAAACAAAAGGAAUGCGGUUGUCCUCGUGAAGACAUCAUAAGCCUAAAGAUUUCUUAGCUGUCUGGUUCCAACGUGAAGCUGCCUUGAACUUGAUAAAUCACACCCACACAUCUCUAGCACGGGCACGGAUGCUCACCGUCUUCUUCCUACCGCAGAGGCCUGACCAUGAUAAACCGCCAACCUUAGGAUACUGCUAACCCUACUGGUUGAUCCCAGUUAGCCCCGGAGUGUCCGAUCACUUACAGGUGAGCUGUGGGGGUCAGCAGCGCUCGCUCGCCAGUGCUGAGGUGCAGAAGCAGAGCACAGCUUCUGGCGCAGGUACCCAGCAGCAUCAAGCUUCGCCUCUCACUCUGUGGCCCUGGACAAGUUCCUUCACCUCUCACACCUUGGUUUUCUCAUUCAUAAAGUGGAGAGAAAAACACGGCU